GUUUAAUAACGUGGGCAUAAAAUUAUGUUAACAUAUGAAGAUAUGGACAAUUGCAAUGUGGAAAGAGUUAAAACAAAACCAAAUGGUUAAUACAGAAAGGGAAACGGCAGUCGUUUUAUGUAAAUUCACUUUUCAAUCGGGCGUGAGAAAGGUCAACGUGACUGUCACAAAACGGGCCGACAAGUCGAAGAAAUGCACUCGCAUGCGAUUCCAGCGUCUAUCUACAAGUGAUGCUUGUUUACCUCGUCCGGGAGCUGCUUUUCUUUUCAACGGGGAAUGGACGCCCUCUGCUGGCCACAUGCCUCAACAACUCUCGUCUCCAAACUCCCGAAAUCAAUGGAAAAAAAAAAAUGAACAAAAUAAGGUACGGUAUUUGCAGCCUUCAUUUGCGUGGAAUUCGGCAUCAUUACCUCAAAGUGUUGCCAGCUGCAAGUGCUUGGGAGUUCUCAUUUGAACUCGAUGUGUGGUUUGUGAAAACGGAGAAGCGAGCGGCCAAAACCUGGAAACCUACGAUAAAAAAAAGGUUUGCUUUGACCAGCUGGAUAUUCAGGAGCAGCACCCUCGUGCAGGUUCUUCGUCAUCCUCUCGACAUCUCUUCCUCGACGUUCCAGGCGCAGCGACCCCCUCGGUGUCUUCCGCAUCUGUGCUGGUAUCUGAACUGUUAGCGCAAAAUUCGUGCGAC
Syngnathoides biaculeatus (alligator pipefish) is the source of this 682-nucleotide long non-coding RNA. RefSeq lists it as uncharacterized. Lineage: Eukaryota; Metazoa; Chordata; Actinopteri; Syngnathiformes; Syngnathidae. The record is from RefSeq and is a predicted model, not a curated record. The transcript is spliced from 4 exons.